This 251-nucleotide ribosomal RNA is filed under the name Methylorubrum populi. Its description in RNAcentral is "partial 16S ribosomal RNA". Lineage: Bacteria; Pseudomonadati; Pseudomonadota; Alphaproteobacteria; Hyphomicrobiales; Methylobacteriaceae. The record is from RNAcentral.
ACUUCNCCCCAGUCGCUGACCCUACCGUGGUCGCCUGCCCCCUUGCGGUUGGCGCAGCGCCGUCGGGUAAGACCAACUCCCAUGGUGUGACGGGCGGUGUGUACAAGGCCCGGGAACGUAUUCACCGUGGCGUGCUGAUCCACGAUUACUAGCGAUUCCGCCUUCAUGCACCCGAGUUGCAGAGUGCAAUCCGAACUGAGACGGCUUUUGGGGAUUUGCUCAACCUCGCGGUUUCGCGUCCCACUGUCACC